This 302-nucleotide long non-coding RNA is filed under the name Homo sapiens (human). RNAcentral's name for it is "non-protein coding BOK-AS1:8". Lineage: Eukaryota; Metazoa; Chordata; Mammalia; Primates; Hominidae. The record is from RNAcentral.
CACCGCACCCGGCCGAUAUUACAAAAUCUUUCCUGAGGCUGGAAGUCCAGAAGUCGGGGUGCUGGCAGGACGUGCUCUUCUGAAGCCUCCAGGGCAGGGCCAGCCGCAUGCCCGUCUCCUCGCUUGGGCACCUGCCAGCGGUCCCCGGCGGUCCCCGGCUCAUUGCUGCAUGGCUCCAACGUCCGCCUCUCCCACCAUGUGGCCUCCUCCUGGUGUCUCUGUGUCCAAAUCUCCCGCUCUGUCUAAGGAUAACAGUCACUGGUCAUGGGACCCAUCCUAAUCCAGGGUGACCUCGUAUUAAC